GACAGAGGGUGCAAACGUUGUUCGGAAUUACUGGGCGUAAAGCGCGUGUAGGCGGUUAAGUAAGUCGGGCGUGAAAUCCCACGGCUCAACCGUGGAAGUGCACUCGAAACUGCAUAGCUAGAGUCCUGGAGAGGAAGGUGGAAUGCUUGGUGUAGAGGUGAAAUUCGUAGAUAUCAAGCGGAACACCGGUGGCGAAGGCGGCCUUCUGGACAGUGACUGACGCUGAGACGCGAAAGCGUGGGGAGCAAACAGG
This 253-nucleotide ribosomal RNA is filed under the name uncultured bacterium. Its description in RNAcentral is "partial 16S ribosomal RNA". It matches the Rfam family "Bacterial small subunit ribosomal RNA", at positions 524 to 776 of the family's 1533-position model. The record is from RNAcentral.